GGACCACUCAGAGGCGAAGGAUCAAAUGAACCGAUGCCUCCCUAGCGGAGGGAGAGGGGUCGUGGUAAGCGGUGCCAGCUGGUAACCUCCUGUGCCGCAGGCCGGACGCCAGGGGCGCGGCGGUCUACGCAUGUGCCGCGCUCACGGGUGGGUGCCCGCCGUCCCGCGGCUCCCCCGGGGCUGCCGCGACAGCUGCCAGUGGAGUAGGGCUGGCAGCCGCCCCGGAAGGAGACAUCUGCCCGGGCUGUCGCCGCGGCGGAAGAGCAGGGGGCAGCUGCAUAUGGAAGCAGAGACAAGGACAGGAGCAGAGGAGACCGCAGGACCGCCCUCGCCCUCGCCCUCGUUGCCCGCCCCCCAAGCCGCGGUGCUGCCAGAGCACUUCUGAGAAGAAGACUGCAGGCCUCGAGGGACAGCCAAAGGCGCCACGGCUCAAAAAAGGACUGAGGUUGGGAUCACUGGAGAUAAUGGACAAGACGUUGAUUUUCGUACAGCAAAGCCCACUUGACAAUGUGGAAGAUAGUUUCAUUACUAUUGUAUUGGUCUGCUUUCCAGGAGGGCAGCUCACUGAGAGUGAGGGAGACAAGGAGCAUGUCAGUUUCAAAGGGAUGAGUUUGGAGGAAAAGGUGCCAUCUGUGGUGAUCCUGUCGAGGUUAGGUGCUGCAGUGGGAAGCUCCUGACAUCCUGAAUAUGACCUCAGAGUCUCGGGAAUCUGGAGAAGACAGCCUAAGUGGGGAGGAGAGAAAAUGAAGUGGGAGAUGCAAAACCGCUUCGCUUAUUUCACAUCUUGUCAGGUGCCGGCUCAGCCCACCACUGAGACAGGUGACAAAGAAACAGCGAACCCUCUACAAGCUCCUGUGUGUAUAUUUCAGACUCGGCAGGAGGAUGGACCACUGACGAAGUAUAAUAUAGACCAGCAGGCAGGGUGGGAGACACCCUAAAGGAAAACAAGGAAACAGGCUGUGCAGUUGGACCUGGCCUCCUGGGAUGGACUGGCUGACUGGCACCAGGCGAUGUAAGAAACAUGAAAAGGACCAGGACCAAGGUGGUAAAACCUAAGAGAUCUGUGAGUUGAGGAGCAUUCUCUGGAUUUACGAGUGGAAGCAUCACGUUAUCUGUGCCUCUUCUCCAUGGAUGCAGGACAUUGCAAUGACAACAGGUGACCUACAAGGGGGGCCACAGGGCUCACUUAUACUGCUUGUCCACUCUCAGUUAACUUCUGCUCAUCUUUUCUACUCCUCCCCUUAAUGAUUUUUGGUGUUUUGUUUUACCAAGAUCCAGAUGAUGUUGUAAAUUUACCAUUCCCACAAUAAAUCUUCUCUAAAAACAUCAAAUAUCAGUGAUGGGUAACAUACAAAAAGAAGACACUAAUGGAUCAUAGACACAUUUGAAAAUAAGACAAAAUUUCCAUGGUCCAGAAGUAUAACAGAAACACAACUUAGAGGGACGUGCUGAAGUCACGGGCCUUCUGGCCUUAGGUGUUGAAGUAGGUACAAUGGAUGGGAGUUUAUAUUCUGCAAAGUUAUGGGCACUAAAACCACUUCACUUGGGGCAGGGGAUCUGAGCCAGGCGCAUUGAUUGAAACUAGGUGCUAGGAUGGGGCUCCCCCUGCAGUGAUGGAAGCUAGAAGAACUUACUACUGAUUGCUUAUUCUGUUUGAGGGCCCC
RNAcentral lists this long non-coding RNA (1664 nucleotides) under Equus caballus (horse). Its description in RNAcentral is "lncRNA (ENSECAG00000045570.1)". Lineage: Eukaryota; Metazoa; Chordata; Mammalia; Perissodactyla; Equidae. The record is from RNAcentral.